UGUAGGCUGAAACCAGGGGGCUCAAUCAGCAGGUGGAAUCUAAGGCAGGACUUGCUCAUCCUCAACGAAGGCCAAAACAUUAGUGAAGAAAACAGAGGAAUCCUAACCAUCCCAGGACAAUCCCAGGAACCAGUUUGAGGUCAUCUGAACUUUGUAACAUGUAAUCAUCAUAUGACCAACUCUGAAAACUGAAAACAUCUUAAAGAUCUAACCUUCUCAUGUCCCCAUUUUAUUGUUUUUUCCAUUAAUUUCCAGGACGUCUAGGAAACGUCUGGCUGCAGCUGGAGUCACAACACGGAGCAGCCCGUGGCCUCUCUGGUCUGCAGGAUCCUGAUCAGGGCCGUGACUGUUUUCAGACCUGCUGAGACCUUAUCCACAGAGAGAAGAUGCACAUGAGAUUCAGAAAUAGGCCAUGAAGCGAUGGAAGAAGAUGGGCUGCUCUGUUGAAUCAUGAUUUCUUUUAGGUGUGUGUGUGUCACUUACCUGGAGAGCACUCGGCACCAGGUAUGGGAAGAAGGCAACCCAGGGGAGACAAAGUUAUGCUUUGGGCAAUGUUCUGCAGGGAAACCAAUCAUCUUGCCAUCCAUAUGGAUGUUCCUUUGACAGGUUUUGCGAAACAGUGUUUGCAUCGAGAUUCAUACCGGAAAUGUUUCAGCGGUCCUGUGCUUUGUCAGCACACACUGUCAACAGCGAAGGAAUGCAAUCACUGUAAUGUCUCUUAAACCUUCAUAUCCCAUUAAACAGUUGCUUAUUUUGGCAGCACUUCAAAUUAGCCAAAAUAUUUUCAGGAAAUCAUUCCCAAAAUAUUUCCUUUUUUCCCUCCUCUUGAGUCACAGUUGACACUAACCAGGCCUGUUUCAGCAGCUCUGUUGAUCAGGUUGCUUAGCAACAGUAGGAUACAGGGAGCGAGUGGGAGUGACUGCAGGGUAACACAGGGAGCUCAUGACCCUCAUGAAAAGGCCACAAACGCAGCAAGAUGCUUAAAGAUGUUGACAUGUGCACAGUACAUCCUGGCCAUGUGUACAUGACUAUAAAAACAGGACAUUGAGCACGAAUGUAGUAAAACUGAGAAUUAAACAGCAUUUCAAGUUCUCAUUGACACUUUCUUUCUUUCUGACAUUACAAUUUAAAAGUUGUUUUACUCAAAAGUGUUCAAAUUAUGCUUCAGUGUUAAAAGUACUCCACUCAGAUCUUUUUAAUGAACAAAGAUUUUGGUUAGUGAGUCUUAAUUUGUUGAUUUUGACAAUUAAUCUAUUUGUAUUUGACAAUUUUAUAACAAAGACUGAGGCUGACACCAUGCACAGUCAUGGCCAGUUUAUAAAAUGAAUCUCAUAACAGCAACACAACAUUAAAAAGGUUAGGAGAAGUCGUGUAAUAUAAUGAGAAUACACUUGGUAGAACACCACAGUAUUAGGUAUUGAAAUUAGCCAUGGGUGAGAAACAUAACUGAGCAUAAAAGAGAAGAUCCUGGAGCUGCUGAUUCCUUCAGAAGUAAACAUGGGGAGGGGUUGACUGUUUCUGCAAUAAAUUAAAAUAAAUAAGGAUGUAAAACUGUACAAUGUGUUGGAGGAUUUCAUGAUUUACAUGCAUUUCUUAAGAUUUGGAUUUGGAGUACAUAAAAAAUGUCUGUGGGCGUGGUCUCUGUUUAUAUGCUGUAGCA
Long non-coding RNA from Oreochromis aureus, 1660 nucleotides. RefSeq lists it as uncharacterized. The transcript is spliced from 5 exons. The record is from RefSeq and is a predicted model, not a curated record. Lineage: Eukaryota; Metazoa; Chordata; Actinopteri; Cichliformes; Cichlidae.